Molecule: ribosomal RNA, 429 nt
Filed under: Fusobacteriota bacterium
Lineage: Bacteria; Fusobacteriati; Fusobacteriota
Description: Fusobacteria bacterium partial 16S ribosomal RNA
Rfam family: Bacterial small subunit ribosomal RNA
Source: RNAcentral
UGGGGAAUAUUGCGCAAUGGGCGAAAGCCUGACGCAGCGACGCCGCGUGAGGGAUGAAGGUUUUCGGAUCGUAAACCUCUGUCAGAAGGGAAGAAACCGCACUGUGCUAAUCAGCAGUGCCUUGACGGUACCUUCAAAGGAAGCACCGGCUAACUCCGUGCCAGCAGCCGCGGUAAUACGGAGGGUGCAAGCGUUAAUCGGAAUUACUGGGCGUAAAGCGCACGUAGGCUGCUUUGUAAGUCAGGGGUGAAAUCCCACGGCUCAACCGUGGAACUGCCGUUGAUACUGCUUAGCUUGAAUCCGGGAGAGGGUGGCGGAAUUCCAGGUGUAGGAGUGAAAUCCGUAGAUAUAUGGAGGAACAUCAGUGGCGAAGGCGGCCACCUGGACCGGUAUUGACGCUGAGGUGCGAAAGCGUGGGGAGCAAACAGG